AAAGAAGUGUAUGAGGACCAGAGAGGACACAGGUUGGGAGCCCGAGGGUUCAGGCUGGGAACAGGCAGCCAUUCUCAGCCACCCUGGCUUGCCCUCUCCCCUCCCAGGCCUGUUUGCUGAGCAGAGCCUGCAGACCUUGCAGCAAGAGCUGGCUUGGGAAUGUGACUACCGCAGAGAAGCCGCCUGUGCCCAGACCUUCAAGUAAGCUGACACCCCUGCAAGCUCCUGAGGGAUCCCUUCCCUCUCUCCUGGGCUGGGAUGAAUGUGGUGCUCUCCAGCCUCUGGCAGUCAGAACGGCAGACUUCCUUAUCCUUGCAUGGCCUCUGUCAAAUGCACAUCUGCUGUGGUCUCACAAAGAGGCUUGGCUGCUAACUGAGGAGGGGUCAGCCUUCUGCAUGGUACAGCAGGAGAACACCGGCUCCAGACAGAAAAAUAGUGUUAACAUCUGGGAAGUUACGGUCUCACUCUGUAGCUCUGACUGGCAUGGACCUUGAACUGCCUCUGUCCCCCAAGAGCAUAUGUCCGCAUGCCAGCUCAACUUUAAUUUACUUUUACAUUUUUAUUUAAACCAAAUAUGGAGAUAUACACCACUUGACAAUCAGAAGCAAGUGGAUUUCUGUGAGUUCAAGCCCAGCCUCAUCUACAUUAGGGAGUUCCGGACCAGCCAGGGCUACAUGGCUACAUGGUGAAACCCUGUUUCAAAAUAACAAUAACAAAAACCCCAAAAAAUUCUGGAAAAAAAAAAAGAAAAG
Molecule: long non-coding RNA, 752 nt
Filed under: Rattus norvegicus (Norway rat)
Lineage: Eukaryota; Metazoa; Chordata; Mammalia; Rodentia; Muridae
Description: long non-coding RNA NONRATT000508
Source: RNAcentral